Long non-coding RNA from Grammomys surdaster, 994 nucleotides. RefSeq lists it as uncharacterized. NCBI's taxonomy places the organism in Eukaryota, Metazoa, Chordata, Mammalia, Rodentia, Muridae. The transcript has 2 exons. The record is from RefSeq and is a predicted model, not a curated record.
UGACAGGCUCGCCAAGCAGCACGCCCUCCACGUGCGGCGAGCUCGGUGCCCUCUGCCCUUCCGGGAAGAGCCACGGCAUCCUGCCGAGUCCUCGGAACCCUGUCCCCAGAUUACCGGGUACUCGGGCUUGCCGGUGAAGAACUCUCUCAAUCCAGCACCGCCUAAACUCGGAGUUGGAGAACCAACACUGAGCACAGUGGUGCAAAUAAAAAAACCCACGCUUUCUCCCAAACCCUGAGAGUGCGUUCAUGGCCCCUAUACCCCGCUCUCCCUCUCUGGGGAGCUUUCUCUUCCUUCGCAGCCCUCAGGAUACUAGAUUACGAUUAAGAGAGAAGAGGUGAAACCAGCACUUUCUGAACCCAGGAGAAAAGACUUGUCCAAGAGUUCAAACACAAGAACACCUCUCACUUCAGUCACAGGACAGGAUCUGUGGGUGAGAAGGAGGUGCACCGAGGCCUGGGUCUAACUUCAACUUUCCCAAAGUCCUCUAGCAUUGAAUACCAGUGCUCCGUGCUUCCACAAAAAAAGCUGAUAGGCAGAAGAGUUGCGGACCAGAUGGACCACCCCCCCAAACCUUUGAGGGCAACUUCUCCAUUGCCCCUGUUCCCUCCCUAACAUGCCAGCGCCCCCUUCACUUCUUACCUCGCUGAAGUCCGAGGGCAACUGCCAGGCCCAGCGCUGAGCUCCUAAUUCUGCUGCCUCCAAGUCCGGUUUGAUGGAUUAAAGGCCUGAGUCGCCACACCCUGCAAUCCUUCCUCUUGCAGAAGCAGUGUUUCAUCUCCACACCCUCCCCAAAGACGGGCUCACACAGCCUUCAUCUGUUGUAUCUAUGUUGUAUCUGUUCUCGGCCCUUCAGUGCCCUCCCCCAACCCCUUGAGGCAGUUUCAUGUCGCCCAGGCUAGUAUGGGCCUUGCUAUAUCGUCUAGAAUGACAGGGAACUCCUGAGUUCCUGUCUCCACCUUCUGAGCACUGGGAUUAAAGGCAUGUGCCGCUA